GGGUUGCUAACUCAACGGUAGAGUACUCGGCUUUUAAAUGCGGCUAGUAUCUUUUACACAUUUAGAUGAAGCAGGGGAUUCAUCUAUACCAUCGGUAAAGUUUGAAAGACCACGACUGAUCCUGAAAGGGAAUGAAUGGAAAAAACAGCAUGUCGGAUUGAGGGAGAGUUCUGAUAAUGUUUCAUUUUUACCGGAUCAGUAGAAAA
Non-coding RNA from Coffea arabica (coffee), 206 nucleotides. NCBI's taxonomy places the organism in Eukaryota, Viridiplantae, Streptophyta, Magnoliopsida, Gentianales, Rubiaceae. The record is from RefSeq and is a predicted model, not a curated record.